RNAcentral lists this ribosomal RNA (253 nucleotides) under uncultured bacterium. Its description in RNAcentral is "partial 16S ribosomal RNA". It matches the Rfam family "Bacterial small subunit ribosomal RNA", at positions 524 to 776 of the family's 1533-position model. The record is from RNAcentral.
UACGUAGGGGGCAAGCGUUGUCCGGAUUUAUUGGGCGUAAAGAGCGUGUAGGCGGCCAGGUAGGUCCGUUGUGAAAACUCGAGGCUCAACCUCGAGACGUCGGCGGAAACCCUCUGGCUAGAGUCCGGAAGAGGAGAAUGGAAUUCCUGGUGUAGCGGUGAAAUGCGCAGAUAUCAGGAAGAACACCAACGGCGAAGGCAGCUCGCUGGGACGGUACUGACGCUGAGACGCGAAAGCGUGGGGAGCGAACAGG